AACGAAUAGAGCAGAGAAAGACGAAAGAGAGAACUCAACAAAAAUUUCUUAGAGAGGGGUUGACCUCUGAAAUAUAGAGAUUCUCGCAUCUACGGAAAAGAAUUUUGGAAUGAGAGACUAGGAAAGAAUGAAUGAGGAAUGAGAAUGAACUGCGAAGAUGGUGUGAAAUGAAUGUAACGGGAGUACUCAUUUGGGAAGUUGGUGAUGCUCAAAGGCGUGUCGGACUUAGUUGGGACGCGAGCAUUUGUCGUCAAGUGGAAUGUUUGAGACUUGCACACCUCUCUCAUUUGUGAUUGGAUACGAGCACCACCGUUUUAAGGGCUGUCCAGACUUGCACAUUUUUAUAAUUGUAAUAGAUUAGGAAUUCGAUAAAUUUGUACAAUAGUACUUUAGCGGACUUCGGAGAUGUGCCGGACAUUAUAAACUUUUAUUUGGUGUUACUCUUUUAGUUGUACU
Salvia hispanica is the source of this 456-nucleotide non-coding RNA. NCBI's taxonomy places the organism in Eukaryota, Viridiplantae, Streptophyta, Magnoliopsida, Lamiales, Lamiaceae. The record is from RefSeq and is a predicted model, not a curated record.